GAUAAGAUGCCUGAUUAAAGGAUUAUUUUGAUAGAAUAAAUUAUGUAAAUGUAAUUACUCUUAUUA
This 66-nucleotide transfer RNA is filed under the name Okanagana bella. Its description in RNAcentral is "tRNA-Ile". The record is from RNAcentral. Lineage: Eukaryota; Metazoa; Arthropoda; Insecta; Hemiptera; Cicadidae.